Molecule: ribosomal RNA, 442 nt
Filed under: uncultured bacterium
Lineage: Bacteria
Description: bacterial SSU rRNA
Rfam family: Bacterial small subunit ribosomal RNA
Source: RNAcentral
GAUGAACGCUGGCGGCGUGCUUAACACAUGCAAGUCGAACGGGAUCCAGCCAGCUUGCUGCCUGGUGAGAGUGGCGAACGGGUGAGUAAUGCGUGACCGACCUGCCCCAUACACCGGAAUAGCUCCUGGAAAUGGGUGGUAAUGCCGGAUGCUCCGACUCCUCGCAUGGGGUGUCGGGAAAGAUUUCAUCGGUAUGGGAUGGGGUCGCGUCCUAUCAGGUAGUCGGCGGGGUAACGGCCCACCGAGCCUACGACGGGUAGCCGGCCUGAGAGGGCGACCGGCCACAUUGGGACUGAGAUACGGCCCAGACUCCUACGGGAGGCAGCAGUGGGGAAUAUUGCACAAUGGGCGCAAGCCUGAUGCAGCGACGCCGCGUGCGGGAUGACGGCCUUCGGGUUGUAAACCGCUUUUGAUCGGGAGCAAGCCUUCGGGUGAGUGUACC